UUAACUAUUAUAUAGUACUCAGACGACAUUAAUAAACAGAGUUUGUGGUCCUCUGGCGAGCGCACACCAGCAAGAAGCCGGUGGCCGAAGCGGCUCGCCAAAGCAACAAAGGUGUUAAUAACAUAGGGUUGGAGAGUCACCCGUGAGGGCGAUGUUCUCUGUAAUGAUCCCUCCGCAGGUUCACCUACGGAGA
RNAcentral lists this unclassified non-coding RNA (193 nucleotides) under uncultured fungus. Its description in RNAcentral is "sequence contains ITS1". Lineage: Eukaryota; Fungi. The record is from RNAcentral.